This 28-nucleotide non-coding RNA is filed under the name Rattus norvegicus (Norway rat). Lineage: Eukaryota; Metazoa; Chordata; Mammalia; Rodentia; Muridae. The record is from RNAcentral.
UGGGGAAGAUUUUGCAAAGUGACAAAGU